CAGGGCGUAGCUACACACAAGCAUUCAGCUUACACCUGAAGAUAUCUGCUAUCCAUCAGAUCACCCUGA
Molecule: transfer RNA, 69 nt
Filed under: Pionites leucogaster
Lineage: Eukaryota; Metazoa; Chordata; Aves; Psittaciformes; Psittacidae
Description: tRNA-Val
Source: RNAcentral